AACGAACGCUUCCUUCCUUCCUAACACAUUCAAGUCGAACGAGACCUUCGGGUCUAGUGGCGCACGGGUGCGUAACGCGUGGGAACCUGCCCUUAGGUUCGGAAUAACUCCCCGAAAGGGGUGCUAAUACCGGAUAAUGUCUUCGGACCAAAGAUUUAUCGCCUUUGGAUGGGCCCGCGUUGGAUUAGCUAGUUGGUAGGGUAAAAGCCUACCAAGGCGACGAUCCAUAGCUGGUCUGAGAGGAUGAUCAGCCACACUGGGACUGAGACACGGCCCAGACUCCUACGGGAGGCAGCAGUGGGGAAUAUUGGACAAUGGGCGAAAGCCUGAUCCAGCAAUGCCGCGUGAGUGAUGAAGGCCUUAGGGUUGUAAAGCUCUUUUACCCGGGAUGAUAAUGACAGUACCGGGAGAAUAAGCUCCGGCUAACUCCGGG
RNAcentral lists this ribosomal RNA (433 nucleotides) under uncultured bacterium. RNAcentral describes it as "partial 16S ribosomal RNA". It matches the Rfam family "Bacterial small subunit ribosomal RNA", at positions 29 to 507 of the family's 1533-position model. The record is from RNAcentral.